Molecule: unclassified non-coding RNA, 336 nt
Filed under: soil metagenome
Description: partial contains 5.8S ribosomal RNA, internal transcribed spacer 2, and large subunit ribosomal RNA
Rfam family: 5.8S ribosomal RNA (bases 1-120)
Source: RNAcentral
GAUGAAGAACGUAGCGAAAUGCGAUAAGUAGUGUGAAUUGCAGAAUUCAGUGAAUCAUCGAAUCUUUGAACGCACAUUGCGCCCCUCGGUAUUCCGUGGGGCAUGCCUGUUCGAGCGUCAUCUACACCCUCAAGCUCUGCUUGGUGUUGGGCGUUUGUCCCGCCUCUGCGCGCGGACUCGCCCCAAAUUCAUUGGCAGCGGUCUUUGCCUCCUCUCGCGCAGCACAAUUGCGUCUGCGAGGGGGCGUGGCCCGCAUCCACGAAGCAACAUUACCGUCUUUGACCUCGGAUCAGGUAGGGAUACCCGCUGAACUUAAGCAUAUCAAUAAGCGGAGGA